GACGAACGCUGGCGGCGUGCUUAACACAUGCAAGUCGAGCGGUAAGGCCCUUUCGGGGGUACGACGAGCGGCGAACGGGUGAGUAACACGUGGGUGACCUGCCCUUAGCUCUGGGAUAAGCCUGGGAAACUGGGUCUAAUACCGGAUAUGACUCCAUAACGCAUGUUGUGGGGUGGAAAGCCUUGUGCGGCUAGGGAUGGGCCCGCGGCCUAUCAGCUUGUUGGUGGGGUGGUGGCCUACCAAGGCGACGACGGGUAGCCGGCCUGAGAGGGCGACCGGCCACACUGGGACUGAGACACGGCCCAGACUCCUACGGGAGGCAGCAGUGGGGAAUCUUGCGCAAUGGGCGAAAGCCUGACGCAGCGACGCCGCGUGGGGAUGACGGCCUCGG
RNAcentral lists this ribosomal RNA (391 nucleotides) under uncultured bacterium. RNAcentral's name for it is "bacterial SSU rRNA". It matches the Rfam family "Bacterial small subunit ribosomal RNA", at positions 28 to 420 of the family's 1533-position model. The record is from RNAcentral.